UCAUUUCGUGUUUUAGUGCACACAGAACGUUCAUUCUCGAUUAAAAUUGUUUGGUUUUAUUUUUUUAAUUCGUUAUGAUCCCCAAAAAGUUAAUUGUGUUGAAAUCUCUUCAAAAACAGUGUGUUUUCGGUCGGACUAGUGUGAUUUGACCACUGUGUAGCGUAUAUAAACUUACGAGAAUCCCAAAAAAGUUAGUUGUGAUGAAAUAUCUACAUAAACAGUGUUUUUUAGGUCGGACUAGUGUUAUUUGACCACUGUGUAGCGUAUAUAAACUUACGGGAAUCCCAAAAAAGUUAAUUGUCGUGAAACAUCUACAAAAACACUGUUUUUAUGUCGAGCUAGUGUUAUUUGACCACUCUGUACAUUUAUCUACUUACGAGAAUUAGUGUUAUCAGCUUAAGAAUACAAUUAUUCACUCAUUGUGUUAAAAUUUAACUUAUUUAGUGCAUUUCCGCUGAUUUUACGGUGUAAAUUCGAAUCGCGCGGUCUUUUUCGCUGUCAAAUGUCAAAACUGAGCAGUUCUAGCAGUUCGUCGAGUGCGGAACGUAGACGGAACGGGCCGAAAUGUUCCGAACGCGCCUCGUUGAUGAUCGGGAGGCCGGCCAGCUACGGAUCGCUGUUGCCAUAUUUCGAGUUUGUCCGGGCCAGUACUAGUAGACAUGCCAGCAAUCAGACGCUGCACAAGAGUGAGUCCAUGGUAUCAGUAUGCUUCCAGUCGCUGAUCUCAUUCGUCAACAAUGACAACCUACCCGGACUUCAAUCGUUUUUGGAGAACAAGCAAUUUCAAAUCGACGAUAAAGAUGAAAAUGGAACCACUGCUCUCAUGGUGGCUGCCUCCAAAGGCCGCAGUGCUUUUGUCAGAGAACUAUUGGCUCAUGGAGCCGAUCCGAAUGUUGAAGACAACGACGGCUGGACAGCCUUACUUUGUGCAGCCAAGGAAGGACACUAUGACAUAGUGCUGCAACUGCUUGAACACCAUGCUGAUAUCGAUCACAGAGAUAUGGGUGGUUGGACUGCCCUCAUGUGGGCCACCUACAAGGGUCGAACCAACGUGGCCCUUCAUUUGUUGGACAGAGGAGCUGAGGUGAACGCCCAUGGCAAUUUCCACAUUUCUUCUUUGCUAUGGGCUGCCGGAAGAGGUUGUACCGAGAUAGUCCGAGCCCUGAUAGACCACGGAGCUAAAGUAAACGUCGGAGAUAAAUAUGGCACCACUGCAUUGGUGUGGGCUAGUAGGAAAGGGUAUACGGAGAUAGUGGAGAUGUUGCUGAGAGCUGGUGCUAAUGUAGAUACUGCAGGCAUGUACUCCUGGACAGCGUUGCUUGUAGCUACUUAUGGCAACCACGUCGAUGUUGUCAACGUUCUUCUCGAGCACAAGCCCAAUGUCAAUGCGUUAGACAAAGACGGCUGCAGUCCACUUACAAUAGCCUGCAAGGAAGGGUUCUACGAUAUUGCAACGUCGCUUCUGGCUGCAGGAGCUUACAUCAAUAUACAGGAUAGGGCUGGAGACACUAACUUGAUCCACGCAGUGAAAGGUGGCCACAAAAAUGUAGUGGAAGCUCUGUUGAAGAAGUACGCUGACGUAGACAUAUUGGGGAAAGACAGGAAAUCUGCCACGUAUGUAGCUGUGGAAAAAGGCAACGUUGGAAUAGUUAAAUUGUUGCUAAGUCACAACCCUGACUUAGAACACGCUACCAAAGAUGGGGAUACGCCUUUACUGAGAGCUGUCAGAAACAGGAAUACUGAAAUUGUUCAGUUACUCUUAGAGAAAAAAUCAAAAGUAUCAGCUACAGACAAGAAAGGUGAUACAGCUCUCCACAUAGCUAUGAGAGCCAGAUCGAAAGCUAUAGUGGAGAUAUUGUUAAGAAACCCCAAGCAUAGUCAGCUGUUAUACAGGCCCAACAGGUCUGGUGAAACACCCUAUAACAUUGACAUGAACCAUCCCAAAACUAUUUUAGGACAAAUAUUCGGAGCCAGGAGACUGAAUACAAACGAAGAUAACGAGAAUAUGUUAGGUUAUGACCUGUACAGUAGCGCCCUCGCUGAUAUAUUAAGUGAACCAAGUUUGUCCAUGCCUAUUACAGUGGGUCUGUAUGCUAAGUGGGGUAGUGGAAAAAGUUUUUUGUUAAAUAAGCUACGAGAGGAAAUGAAGAACUUUGCCAGAGAAUGGGUAGAUCCGGUCUUCCAGUUCACCAGCCUACUUUUCUUGGUUAUGUUACAUUUCGCCAUAGUCGUAGGCACCUUCGUUUACAUUUUGACAGAAACGACAACUGACAAGCUCCAGCCAGAACUGUGGUCGAUCGGCAUAGCUAUAGGCUUCUAUUUGUUGGGUAUUUUGUUCCUAGUGUUCGUGUGGUUCGCCAGUAAGAGGUAUGAUUGGGACUGGCCUUAUAACUUUAACGUAGAACUCACUAGAAAAAUGAACAACUUAAGACUGGUUUUGCAGAUUUUGUUCUGUCAUCCGCCCGGAAUGACAGGUCAGGACGGUAUAUCGGCUCAACCAAUCAGAUUUUAUUUCACAGAUCACACCAGAGUGAGUAGCACCACUGGGGGUGAAAAUUCGGUAGUUCAAAUGAUCGGUUCCUUGUACGACUCCAUUGAAAGUCAUUACGGUACCAUGGCAACCAGGUUGUACCGAGCCUUCAAACCUAAACCAGUGAAAUCAGCCUCUUCGUGGUCAUGGCGAAAGAUGUGUUGCCUGCCUUACAUAAUCAUUUUCGAAAUAACGUUUUUUAUGGUCAUUCUGGGAAUAAGUGCCUUGACGUAUUACCUAGUUCGUGUCAAUUCAGGUGAAACCAUUACAAUCAAUAUGACCAAGUCAACUUUGGAAAUAAUACUGAUAGUGGCAGCACUGCUUCUGGCAGUGGCCACAAUAGCCAACGCCUAUACUUGGAGUAAAUUGUUUAGGUCUGUGUUGUUCUCGCAAAGACGCCAUUUACAGCGUUCUAUAGCCAAACUUGAGACUGUAAAAAGUGAAGGAUUUUUACAAACACUUAGACAAGAGGUUAAUCUGAUGAAAGAUAUGGUCAAAUGUUUGGAUAGCUUGAGCGCGCAACAAACCAGACUUGUCAUAGUUGUUGACGGUCUUGACAGUUGCGAACAAGAGAAAGUGUUACUGAUACUGGACACUGUCCAUCUGUUGUUCUCCGACGCCAACUCGCCGUUUAUUGUGAUAUUAGCUAUAGAUCCUCACGUCAUAGCCAAGGCUGUGGAAAUGAACACUAGGCGUCUGUUCAGCGAGAGCAACAUCGGCGGACACAACUACCUGAGCAACAUGGUCCACUUGCCCUUCUAUCUACAAAAUUCUGGAUUAAGGAAGGUUAAAGUUGCUCAGCAGACUGCAUCAGCUCACAAGAAAUCAAACGCUGGAGGUUGGUCGGAAAAUGACGAGAAUCUCAACACUUUUCUGGCCAGAUCGUCUUCAAGUCGAAGAUUGUCUAAUGAGAACAUUCUGAUGUCGGCUAGUAGGGAAAAUCUGAAAUAUUCCGGCAAUAGGAAGGGUUCUAGGAAGCUGAAGCUGUCAGAGUCUAUAGCUAGUUCGAUAGGAUCAAAUUUGAACCGAAUAGGUGGUGCUCAAGACUUAACCAAAAUGCUUCUAACUGACGAUUACUUCAGCGAUGUGAAUCCCCGAUCCAUGAGAAGGUUGAUGAACGUUGUAUACAUAACAGGACGAUUACUUAAAGCAUUCCAAAUAGAUUUUAACUGGUACCGUUUAGCUUCUUGGAUCAAUAUCACCGAACAAUGGCCUUUUAGAACGUCUUGGAUAAUAUAUCAUUUUGAUCUCUAUGAAGAUCAGCUAGAUGAUAACACUCCAUUGAAAUCAAUAUACGAUAAAAUUAGGCCAUUGAUUCCUUCAAUCAAAGACUCGGAACCGUUGCUAGAACUGGACAGGGACGAGAAAAAAUUUGACAUUUUCCUAACCUUUCAUCGUUCCAGUCUUUUAGUCAGUGAUUUGAAGAUAUUCCUGCCAUUCACCAUAAACUUAGAUCCAUACCUGAAAAAAGUUAUUAAAGAGGAAACGCAGAAUAUUGAGGAGGUAGGGAUGUAUUCCCCUCAGAUGCGCGCCCCCUACUUUGCACCGCCGCCACUGUCUGCCUGGCACACGCACGUUGAUUGGUCGGGACAGGUUCCAAAUAGACCAGUGGCGUCCACUUCUCAACCUACCAGAGACAGACGUCAGGUUAUGCCUGUACCCAAGAUGGUUCCUGGUCCUUACCAAUCACCAGCCAACACAAUGGCGUCUCCUUGGACACAGUUCGAUGCUUUAAGUAACAUGAGCACUACUUCAAGACAGUCUGCAGGGUUGCCGUCUGUAAUUUUAGAGCCUGGCAUAUUGGAAAACAAGCUUUCCACGUUAAAUGUAGAGGGCGUGUGCAAGCUUCUUUCCAAACUGGAAGAUCUGAACCAAGCUGCUGUUCCAGGGUACAUCAGUUUAAUAAAAGAGCACAAUGUCAAUGGAAGGGUACUUCUGCAUUGCGAUAUAGAUGAUCUUAAGAAGCUACUGAACAUGUCUUUUGGUGACUGGGAGAUGUUCAAGGUCACUCUCAUUCAACUCCGAGAGUACGAAAUUUCCAGUAUUCUGAAGCAAGACGAUUCCAAUCAGUCUGUAGUAUCCAAAAAACCAGAGAGAAAAAGUAGUAUAAAGGGCGUAACAAGUUCAAACAGCGACAAAACUGACGGAAAAAUUCAAACUGAAGUGCCCAGAGAAAGGAAACAGAGCGUCAUAGAAAAACAGAUGUCACGUCAUCGCGCGGCCACAGAUCGCGUACGAACAGCACGAGCGGACUAGGCGAGACAGAUUUCGUCAUUCUGCAGUCAUCGUCAUCAGGACAUUUACACUGGCAACCCGUUGGAAUUUCCAUAGCUGGUUACUCGGAGAGUCUGAGCGAACAAAGCUCUAGAGGCAGUUCACAACCCCCAUCUCCUGUACAAGAACGUAGGUCUUUCUCGGAAUCGUCCAAAGGCCGUCAUGUCGUCAUAAAAACCGAUCCAGAGGUCCAGAAAGUCAGCAUUUCCUCCAACACCUCCACUGUAGUCUACGAAACCCAUCCUUCAAAGCCUCUGGUUAGAGCCAGACCAAAUUCCUUAGGCUUAGGUCAUCGGGACUCGCGGCCUCACAAACCUCCUUGCAGGAACAGGUCGAAGAGUAUUGAUCACACUCAGAUGACUACGCGCAAAGACCACAAGAAGAUCAGCCUGGAUAAGCUUCAAAAAUUCCGGGAAAAACUACUACAAUCCAGUC
RNAcentral lists this unclassified non-coding RNA (5239 nucleotides) under Sitophilus oryzae (rice weevil). RNAcentral describes it as "kinase D-interacting substrate of 220 kDa B, transcript variant X6". Lineage: Eukaryota; Metazoa; Arthropoda; Insecta; Coleoptera; Curculionidae. The record is from RNAcentral.